Molecule: ribosomal RNA, 478 nt
Filed under: uncultured bacterium
Lineage: Bacteria
Description: partial 16S ribosomal RNA
Rfam family: Bacterial small subunit ribosomal RNA
Source: RNAcentral
GACGAACGCUGGCGGCGUGCUUAACACAUGCAAGUCGAACGGUAAGGCCCUUCGGGGUACACGAGUGGCGAACGGGUGAGUAACACGUGGGUGAUCUGCCCUGCACUUCGGGAUAAGCCUGGGAAACUGGGUCUAAUACCGGAUAGGACCACUGCCUGCAUGGGUGGUGGUGGAAAGCUUUUGCGGUGUGGGAUGGGCCCGCGGCCUAUCAGCUGGUUGGUGGGGUGAUGGCCUACCAAGGCGACGACGGGUAGCCGGCCUGAGAGGGUGACCGUCCACACUGGGACUGAGAUACGGCCCAGACUCCUACGGGAGGCAGCAGUGGGGAAUAUUGCACAAUGGGCGCAAGCCUGAUGCAGCGACGCCGCGUGAGGGAUGACGGCCUUCGGGUUGUAAACCUCUUUCAGCACCGACGAAGCGCAAGUGACGGUAGGUGCAGAAGAAGGACCGGCCAACUACGUGCCAGCAGCCGCAGUAA